This is a long non-coding RNA of Pan troglodytes (chimpanzee), 457 nucleotides long. RefSeq lists it as uncharacterized. The record is from RefSeq and is a predicted model, not a curated record. The transcript is spliced from 3 exons. NCBI's taxonomy places the organism in Eukaryota, Metazoa, Chordata, Mammalia, Primates, Hominidae.
CUAAAGGAAUUGACAAAGGGAUUGUGACCUGAUGCUUCACAAUGAGAACCCUGUUGUGAUUAAAUGGUUAAGUUGAAAGUUAAUGGAAGCUGCAAAGUGUUUGCCUUCUGUAUCUGCAAUGGAAACUCCACCUGCUGUCUUCUUGGUGUUUUUGUUCCUUGUCUUUAAGACCUGGUCUCAAAUUCAGAAGUUCAAUACCAGCGUCAGUUUGACUUGACACAAUCUAUGGUUGUAGUGUAUUGAUUUCACAAAUUGAACCUAUGAAAUGAAACUGUCAUCAAGAAGCUAUUGGACACCUAUAUGGACAUGCAUUUACCUCUCUGUCCAGUGCAAUUAUUUAUAAAUGUCUGUGGAAGAAUAGAGAGAGGAGGGAGGAAAGGAAGAGUAGAUUGUUCUGUGUCUUUCAGGUAAAUAAUUUAUUUGUUUGGUUUAAAUAAACCACAUUGAGGAAUAUCAA